This 1449-nucleotide ribosomal RNA is filed under the name uncultured bacterium. RNAcentral describes it as "bacterial SSU rRNA". It matches the Rfam family "Bacterial small subunit ribosomal RNA". The record is from RNAcentral.
AGAGUUUGAUCCUGGCUCAGGAUGAACGCUGGCGGUAUGCCUAACACAUGCAAGUCGAACGCACUCUUAAUUGAGUGAGUGGCGGACGGGUGAGUAACACGUGAGAAUCUGCCUCUUGGUCGGGGAUAACAGUUGGAAACGACUGCUAAUACCGGAUGAGCCUAAGGGUAAAAAAUUUAUUGCCAAGAGAAGAGCUCGCGCCUGAUUAGCUAGAUGGUGGGGUAAAAGCCUACCAUGGCGACGAUCAGUAGCUGGUCUGAGAGGAUGAGCAGCCACACUGGGACUGAGACACGGCCCAGACUCCUACGGGAGGCAGCAGUGGGGAAUUUUCCGCAAUGGGCGAAAGCCUGACGGAGCAAUACCGCGUGAGGGAGGAAGGUUCUUGGAUCGUAAACCUCAAAACUUAGGGAAGAAACAAAUGACGGUACCUAAUAUAAGCAUCGGCUAACUCCGUGCCAGCAGCCGCGGUAAUACGGAGGAUGCAAGCGUUAUCCGGAAUUAUUGGGCGUAAAGAGUCUGUAGGUGGCACUUCAAGUCUACUGUCAAAGACCGAAGCUUAACUUCGGAAAGGCGGUGGAAACUGAAGAGCUAGAGUAAAGCAGGGGUAGAGGGAAUUCCCAGUGUAGCGGUGAAAUGCGUAGAGAUUGGGAAGAACACCAGUGGCGAAGGCGCUCUGCUGGGCUUUAACUGACACUGAGAGACGAAAGCUAGGGUAGCGAAAGGAUUAGAUACCCCUGUAGUCCUAGCGGUAACGAUGGAUACUAGGCGUAGACCCUUUAUGGGGCUGUGUCGAAGCAAACGCGUUAAGUAUCCCGCCUGGGGAGUACGCACGCAAGUGUGAAACUCAAAGGAAUUGACGGGGACCCGCACAAGCGGUGGAGUAUGUGGUUUAAUUCGAUGCAACGCGAAGAACCUUACCAAGGCUUGACAUCCGACGAAUCUUCUAGAGAUAGGAGAGUGCCUUAGGGAACGUCGUGACAGGUGGUGCAUGGCUGUCGUCAGCUCGUGUCGUGAGAUGUUGGGUUAAGUCCCGCAACGAGCGCAACCCUCGUCCUUAGUUGCCAGCAUUAAGUUGGGGACUCUAGGGAGACCGCCGGGGAAAACUCGGAGGAAGGUGAGGAUGACGUCAAGUCAGCAUGCCCCUUAUGUCUUGGGCUACACACGUACUACAAUGGUUGGGACAAAGGGAAGCGAACUCGCGAGAGGGAGCGAAUCUCAUCAAACCCAGCCUCAGUUCAGAUUGCAGGCUGAAACUCGCCUGCAUGAAGGAGGAAUCGCUAGUAAUCGCAGGUCAGCAUACUGCGGUGAAUCCGUUCCCGGGUCUUGUACACACCGCCCGUCACACCAUGGAAGUUGGUCACGCCCGAAGUCGUUAUUUCAACCAUUUAUGGAGAAAGAUGCCGAAGGUGGGACUAGUGACUGGGGUGAAGUCGUAACAAGGUAGCCGUA